This 208-nucleotide non-coding RNA is filed under the name Eubacterium sp. RNAcentral's name for it is "6S RNA". It matches the Rfam family "6S / SsrS RNA". Rfam says of the family: E. coli 6S RNA was the first non coding RNA to be sequenced, but its function was unknown until recently. It consists of 184 nucleotides that fold into an extended hairpin structure with a large single-stranded internal bulge. Lineage: Bacteria; Bacillati; Bacillota; Clostridia; Eubacteriales; Eubacteriaceae. The record is from RNAcentral. RNAcentral also lists the same sequence under 5 other names.
GUUUCCUUGGAAUGCUCGUAGACUUGUAUAUUUUGAACCUACAUUUAUCGAGACGGGAUUCCUAUAUCUUUGCAUGGAUGUCAGGCCUCAUAUAUGCCGUCAGUACAUAGUACAGGUGGCUAGCUAGUGGAAGGCAGAAGUGUGAAUGCGGUUGCCCACCUGGCGCAAGCUAGGACUCAAAAGGCAAGGACGGCAUUUCGAGUAUAAA